This 496-nucleotide ribosomal RNA is filed under the name uncultured bacterium. RNAcentral describes it as "partial 16S ribosomal RNA". It matches the Rfam family "Bacterial small subunit ribosomal RNA", at positions 28 to 506 of the family's 1533-position model. The record is from RNAcentral.
GAUGAACGCUGGCGGCGUGCCUAAUACAUGCAAGUCGAGCGAACGGACGAGAAGCUUGCUUCUCUGAUGUUAGCGGCGGACGGGUGAGUAACACGUGGAUAACCUACCUAUAAGACUGGGAUAACUUCGGGAAACCGUAGCUAAUACCGGAUAAUAUUUUGAACCGCAUGGUUCAAAAGUGAAAGACGGUCUUGCUGUCACUUAUAGAUGGAUCCGCGCUGCAUUAGCUAGUUGGUAAGGUAACGGCUUACCAAGGCAACGAUGCAUAGCCGACCUGAGAGGGUGAUCGGCCACACUGGACCUGAGACACGGUCCAGACUCCUACGGGAGGCAGCAGUAGGGAAUCUUCCGCAAUGGGCGAAAGCCUGACGGAGCAACGCCGCGUGAGUGAUGAAGGUCUUCGGAUCGUAAAACUCUGUUAUUAGGGAAGAACAUAUGUGUAAGUAACUGUGCACAUCUUGACGGUACCUAAUCAGAAAGCCACGGCUAACUACGU